UUGACCCUACGGGACGCAGCAGUGGGGAAUAUUGCACAAUGGGGGAAACCCUGAUGCAGCGACGCCGCGUGAGUGAAGAAGUAUUUCGGUAUGUAAAGCUCUAUCAGCAGGAACGAGACAAGACGGUACCUGACUAAGAAGCCCCGGCUAACUACGUGCCAGCAGCCGCGGUAAUACGUAGGGGGCAAGCGUUAUCCGGAAUCACUGGGUGUAAAGGGAGCGUAGACGGCUGUGCACGCCUGAAGUGAAAGGCGGGGGCCCAACCCCCGGACUGCUUUGGGAACUGUA
This 288-nucleotide ribosomal RNA is filed under the name uncultured bacterium. RNAcentral's name for it is "partial 16S ribosomal RNA". It matches the Rfam family "Bacterial small subunit ribosomal RNA", at positions 333 to 637 of the family's 1533-position model. The record is from RNAcentral.